CAAAUUUACUUCUAUAUAGUUAUCCAUUAAUAUCUUAACAUCGAUAUCUUAGCUAGAAAGGUGAAUAUAUGGAGGACCAUUUUCGAACCGCAGCUUCUUAUUAUACAAACGUUUCUGUCUCUUCCACACCACAAUCACCACCUACAUUUAACCAUCCUCCUUGUCAUCUACUUGAAAAAG
This is a long non-coding RNA of Humulus lupulus (European hop), 180 nucleotides long. RefSeq lists it as uncharacterized. NCBI's taxonomy places the organism in Eukaryota, Viridiplantae, Streptophyta, Magnoliopsida, Rosales, Cannabaceae. The record is from RefSeq and is a predicted model, not a curated record. The transcript has 2 exons.